AUUGAACGCUGGCGGCAGGCCUAACACAUGCCAGUCGAGCGGAUGAAGGGAGCUUGCUCCUGGAUUCAGCGGCGGACGGGUGAGUAAUGCCUAGGAAUCUGCCUGGUCGUGGGGGAUAACGUCCGGAAACGGGCGCUAAUACCGCAUACGUCCUGAGGGAGAAAGUGGGGGAUCUUCGGACCUCACGCUAUCAGAUGAGCCUAGGUCGGAUUAGCUAGUUGGUGGGGUAAAGGCCUACCAAGGCGACGAUCCGUAACUGGUCUGAGAGGAUGAUCAGUCACACUGGCACUGAGACACGGUCCAGACUCCUACGGGAGGCAGCAGUGGGGAAUAUUGGACAAUGGGCGAAAGCCUGAUCCAGCACUGCCGCGUGUGUGAAGAAGGUCUUCGGAUUGUAAAGCACUUUAAGUUGGGAGGAAGGGCAGUAAGUUAAUACCUUGCUGUUUUGACGUUACCAACAGAAUAAGCACCGGCUAACUUCGUG
Molecule: ribosomal RNA, 484 nt
Filed under: uncultured bacterium
Lineage: Bacteria
Description: partial 16S ribosomal RNA
Rfam family: Bacterial small subunit ribosomal RNA
Source: RNAcentral